CCCCUCUCAGGGUCACACCUGGAGAGUUUCCAGUACUCUACCAGUCUCGACUACGGGACGGAAAGUCAAGCAAAGGCAUAACCAUUCCAUUCCUAGCUUGGGCAGUGGCUAGCGAGUGGAAGGCAAUCUGCUACGAGU
Ornithorhynchus anatinus (platypus) is the source of this 138-nucleotide non-coding RNA. NCBI's taxonomy places the organism in Eukaryota, Metazoa, Chordata, Mammalia, Monotremata, Ornithorhynchidae. The record is from Rfam.